GGGCGUAAGCGCGCGCAGGCGGUCCUUUAAGUCUGAUGUGAAAGCCCACGGCUCUACCGUGGAGGGUCAUUGGAAACUGGGGGACUUGAGUGCCUAAGAGGAAAGCGGAAUUCCACGUGUAGCGGUGAAAUGCGUAGAGAUGUGGAGGAACACCAGUGGCGAAGGCGGCUUUCUGGUCUGUAACUGACGCUGAGGCGCGAAAGCGUGGGGAGCAAACAGGAUUAGAUACCCUGGUAGUCCACGCCGUAAACGAUGAGUGCUAAGUGUUAGAGGGUUUCCGCCCUUUAGUGCUGCAGCUAACGCAUUAAGCACUCCGCCUGGAGAGUACG
Molecule: ribosomal RNA, 329 nt
Filed under: Neobacillus drentensis
Lineage: Bacteria; Bacillati; Bacillota; Bacilli; Caryophanales; Bacillaceae
Description: bacterial SSU rRNA
Rfam family: Bacterial small subunit ribosomal RNA
Source: RNAcentral